Anolis carolinensis (green anole) is the source of this 4307-nucleotide long non-coding RNA. RefSeq lists it as uncharacterized. The transcript has 2 exons. NCBI's taxonomy places the organism in Eukaryota, Metazoa, Chordata, Lepidosauria, Squamata, Anolidae. The record is from RefSeq and is a predicted model, not a curated record.
UUCUGCUGUGAAACUGUGGGCAGUUUUACAUUUCAUCAAAGCUCAAAAGAAGAGAGCACUAAUGAGGAUGAUAAGCUUUUCUAUUUCUUUAUCUCUUAUGUAAGAUCCAGAUCACAGGGCAGGAAGGAAACAAAAUUAAGUAAUAUUUUAUUCUGUUAUUUGCAUAGUUUAGUAGUUAAGGAACUGACCUACUCAACCUUUGUUUCAGAUAUUACUCCUGCUGUGAAUUCAGCACGUGGCCUUCAGGCAACCAACUUUCCCAGCUUCCACUAGAGAAAUAAGAUCCACUUGGAACAUGCGGUCCAUGCCAGAAGGUGGGGAUGGGGUCCUCACGAUAAUACUUCCACCUUUGUUUAGAUCAUGAGCCAUACCUGGUGGUAGUGCUCAUUUUCCUUACCAGGUAGCAGCAGCACUUCUUCUGCAGAGCUGGCCAGACAUCGUGUGAACCUUGUGCAGGGGGUUCAGCGGGUGAGUAUGUUUUAUUUAGACUGUGUAGACAUGGUUAUUUUGUUUCCUGGAAAAGUCAACAUUCAAUAUCCUCAUCUCCUCUCUCUCCUCUGCUGAGUUAACUGUGUGCUAACUACUUUUGCUCUUUGAACUCACUUCAUCAUUUCAGCAAUGGUAGUAAGUUGAGAGCAAAAGGGGAAAGUGGAAGGAGGACAUUCGAAAAGCAUCUGAAAAAGCGAGGCGGAGAUGCUUAGUCAGAACAGUUCCUGGCAAAUCAGGGAGUUUGGAGAGUAUGCACCAACAGUUUCGGGAUAAUGGUGACUGCACAGAUGCCAAUUUGUGCAAUUCAUGCCCAAGCAAGCUUUUUGUUUUAACACCAAAAGAACGUGUCCAGUUGUGUUGCCUCAAAGCUUCAAAGAACAGCCGUUUAGCUUUUAUAUAAAUGGCAGAACAGAAGUGGAUUUUUGUUUCUUUGCAUUUUCUAAAAAUCCAUGCACUUUCUGAAUAAUUCAGAAUAACUGGCCACUGGAUGUGACCAAUUUCCCACCACUGUUAUAAAUAUUUCAUUGAGCUCAAUAGAAUUCACUUCAAAGUAGAUACAAAUAGGGCCCCAUAUCCUUUUUCUGCCUCUAUUUGCACAGAUGUUGAUUGUUGUGUCCAUCCUUCUUCCUUGAACUGUUCUCAUUAUCUACAAGUUUAAGAGGUCAGACCAGGCCUUCAAUCUCAGAGGUUGUUUUGUUUGCAUUUUCAAGUGACAUCUGCUUGGGGGAAGAUCAGCUGCAUGCCCCAGCAACCAGAAAGGGCAUUUUUUUAAAGAGAGAAGGGAUAAAACCUCCAGAGGCAUCCUCCUAAUCUCAAAAAUCUUGUUUGCCAGUACAUCAGAGCAAAGAUUAGCUUUGUUUGCUCAAGAAACAAAACAGUCUAUAGCAGACGUUCCAGGCUGGUGUUUCUGGCUUAAUAUCCCUUUUACAAAACAAGGCUAAGAGUUUAUUUGGUCACGGUAUGUUAUAUGUAGAUUUUGAGACUAAAACAGGAAUUGUUUCACUCUUCUUCUACUUUUGUUGAUCAGCUAGUUUUACACAUAUUGCUGUCCCCAUACUUCUUUCAGAUAAGAUUACUUUCUUCUCAGUCUUACAUCCUCACAGAAGAGCAAGUAAGCCAUGAAUUGGAAUCAAUGUGCAUUUUUAUUAGAGCGGAGUUUGGUGGGAAAAGUAAAUAAACAAUAUCUCUAUUGUUCAUAUUAUUGUGUGCCUUCACGUUGUUUCUGACCUAUGGCGACCCUAAGGCAAACCCGUCACAGGGUUUGAGAAGAGGUUUGCCAUUACUGCCCUCUGAGGUUGAGAGAGUGUGAUUUGUCCAAAGUCUUGCAGUGGAUUUCAUGACUCAGCGGGACUUCAAAAGCUGGUUUCCAAAAUCAUUGGAUAAUGCUCAAGCAACUGCACCAUCACAUCAUCAUGCAUUUUCAUAGUGUUUGCAUUAUCACAGCAAAAAAAUGGAGGAUCUGUUCAAAGAUACUUUUUAUCUUGUACUGACUUCAAUCAUAGUUUUGUUCAUGUUAUUUUGGCUAAAAAGAUAUAAAUCCAUCAACCAGGAAAGGAAAACAUGUGGCUGCCAAGAGCUCUCUGGAGAAUUCUUGGCAAUUGAGUGUCUCUGCCUCGGCCCCCCUCCUUCCUCCACAUCCACAGGCUGAGAAGAGAUCCAAGGAAGAAGAGGGACGGAGGAAAAAGCCCAAGGGGCCGUGGGUUUGCCCAUGCCUACACUAUCUGGAGCAUUAUUCUACCACUGGUCAGCUAAGGAUAGCUUUGACAUUUUGUGAUAUAUUAUUCUCAGCCUCUUUGUUUGUUUCUUUUUUUUUAAGAAAAAGUCUUUAUUGUAAAGAUAAGGGAAAUAUUCCACUGCUAUUCAAAAAACCAUGCAUGUCCAAGUUCUUAUCUUGAAGUGGAACUGCCAAGAUCAAACUAUACAAGAAAUGCUGAGUAUCUCCAAGAACAAUGAUUGAAGAAUGAAGAACUUCCUCCAGUAUCAGAAGGAAAUUUUCACAAGCCACCCAGCUCUCCUGGGAAAACCAGAAUGAGGGAACCAGCAACCAAAUGUGCAACAGCAUGACAGGGCAAGACUGUAAGAGCAGGCUAAGCAAAGGUCCACUCACUUCAGUUUUGAACUCUUAUUUGGCAAUUCAGAUUGGGCCCCUAUUUGAUUCAGACCUAGUUUAACACACUGCAGAUCCUAAAUCCCAAAUGAGACUUCGAGAUCUAAAUAUGUGGGUCUCCUGUUAAUGUACACUGGGAAAACAAAACAGAAUGUUGGUGAAAUUCUGUCCAAAGAGUGGAAGUGAAAAUUUGAAUCAACCCGACUGGAAAGAAGGAAUUGUCCUUAGCAGCUAAGCUCUAUCAAACAUUAAUGGAAUGGAGACGGAAUUUAUUUCCAGCAAGUGUGUGUUGCUUCUGUUCCUUUUGUGUUCCACUAUGUUAAUCAUCAGGAUAAGACUUUCCCAAAGGCAUCCGAUCCUGCCCAAUUUUAGAAGCUAAACAGGGUCAACUCUGGUUCAUACUUGGAUAAGAGAUUGCCAACAAAUACUAGGUGAUAUAGGUUAUGUUUCAGAGGAAGGAACUGGCAAAAAACAUCUCUGAGUAUUCCCUACCUAAGAAAAUCCUAUGAAAUUCAUGGGGCUGACAGAAGUCAACACACAACGUAAGGAGCCAUGCACAUAAGACUCUCGUUUUCCGUUUUAAAAAUAUAUCUUUCUUCAUUCUCCCUCUUUUGCAAUGCAUACUUCACCUCUCUAUCUCUGCCAAAACUGUGACCUUUAACUGAACUUAAAACUGUUUUCAGAAAAAUAAAUAGUUCUUCCUAAGGCCACAUUGUAAAGGUGAGGCGCUUUCAUCAGAUCUAUUCUCAAGCCAAGCAUUCUUCCUAAAAUAGCCCCAUUAAUUAAAAAAAAAAUCAACCCUUUGAAAAUGCCCUAGGCACAUUCUUUACCAUAAAUAAAUCUCAAUGUACACAGAUAUUCCCAUGUUAUCUUGGCAUUUUCACAGAAAGAAAGUAAUAUUGGAUAAUAGGCUAUUUCAGAUUUAUCUGGACCCCCUGGCUGCCGAUUCGAAUCCAACCCGGGGAGAGCGCGGAUGAGCUCCCUCUAUCAGCUCCAGGUCCAUGUGGGGACAUGAGAAAAGCCUCCCACAGAGAUGGUCAAAACAUCAAAACAUCCGGGCGUCCCCUGGGUAACAUCCUUGCAGAUGGCCAAUUCUCUCACACCAGAAGUGACCUGCAGUUUCUCAAAUCGCUCCUGACAUAAAAAAAAAAAAGGUUUUAUCUCAAUUGGACCAUUCAGAACCCUUCUGACUGGAAGAGGUCCCCUGCUACUUCCCAAAUCUUUCACAUUUAUUUUAAGGACUGUAUCCCACAAAGGUGGCAAAUUAGCAUCAAAGCAGGACUGCUGCCUUUAAUGAUAGUUUCUUUAGCAUGAUGCUGGGCUCAACCUGUUUCCAGUUGGCCACCUCUCCCUUGCUAUUCACAGAAAACCCAGGAAUGGUUUUGGCCCUUAUUGUUGGAAUUCAACAAUGUUAUACCUAAGAAAAUAGUUCUCAUGUUGGGAAAUGGAUAGAUCAGUAGGUAGGGUUGAGAGAGUUUGGUAGGGAAGCCCAUUGCUUGACUCAGCGUCUCUGUCUGACUGUCCUGCCCCCACCUUUGAUGUUUAGACAAAUAUUCUUAGAGCAAUUCCCUACUCAAGUUUCCAGGCCCCUUCCUGAAAUUUUCCAUUCCUUUGUUCUCCCAGAUCAAGCUUUGCCUAGUUAGAGGAAGGAUCCUCAGUCUCUUUACAAUUAGUUAUGUAGUUCUUUUGAAUAAAGCUUUUGAAACUUUAA